RNAcentral lists this non-coding RNA (27 nucleotides) under Homo sapiens (human). Lineage: Eukaryota; Metazoa; Chordata; Mammalia; Primates; Hominidae. The record is from RNAcentral.
UGGAAUUGAGUUGAUGCCACUGUGAAC